Molecule: ribosomal RNA, 251 nt
Filed under: uncultured bacterium
Lineage: Bacteria
Description: partial 16S ribosomal RNA
Rfam family: Bacterial small subunit ribosomal RNA
Source: RNAcentral
UACCGGGUGGCGACCGGCGCACGGGUGAGUAACACGUAUCCAACCUGCCGAUAACUCGGGGAUAGCCUUUCGAAAGAAAGAUUAAUACCCGAUGGCAUAAUUAGACCGCAUGGUCUUAUUAUUAAAGAAUUUCGGUUAUCGAUGGGGAUGCGUUCCAUUAGGCAGUUGGUGAGGUAACGGCUCACCAAACCUUCGAUGGAUAGGGGUUCUGAGAGGAAGGUCCCCCACAUUGGAACUGAGACACGGUCCAA